CUGUGCACGCGCCGCUUAGACCGCUGCAGGGCGGAGGACGCUGACAGGCGCUGGCGCUCUAACAGGGAGUGGGACUACCCCCGCGUGAGGCGCCGGGAAGCAGCCCCGCUGUCCACCUGUCUGCAAGUCUGGGAGCCGUGGGCCAGUGAUCCGAAUUCCCAUACGUCAUUCACCAGGAGAAACCCACUCAGAGCUGCUGCCUUGCGAUUUGUCCUGAAAUCAGCCACCACCUCAUGCUGGGAAUUGAACUCAGGGCCUUGUGUGUGUGAGAUCAAGGAAAAAGACAACAGCUGAUGAAAGUUAUCUGCUAAAGCUUUGGAACAAGUUUAGCAAACCAGAGAAUGCUGAAACCUAAGCCUGGGUGAGGGGUCAGUGAGACGAAGCCAACAAGAAGCAAGAUCACAUCUGUCUCACAGAGUGCAGAAGCAUGGAAUCUGAAGACACUGGGUGCCUCUGAAGGGAUGCGAAGGGGAGAGGAUUGGCUAAAUGUACCAGCACACCACUGACAUCUGCCAACACCAAGGGGAGGUUUGGAAGCAUCAUUUGAGGAAUGAGACAAAGGUUACAACAGUUGCAUCUUUUUUCCUGGAGAGCUUAAAGCACAGGAGGAGAACCAAAAUUGAG
Long non-coding RNA from Ictidomys tridecemlineatus (thirteen-lined ground squirrel), 624 nucleotides. RefSeq lists it as uncharacterized. The record is from RefSeq and is a predicted model, not a curated record. Lineage: Eukaryota; Metazoa; Chordata; Mammalia; Rodentia; Sciuridae.